GUACAGGAAGCAACCAAAGAGAGGGAUGUGCAGCGCACCAGUAUGGGGUAUAGGACAUAAGAGUUUUGUUGCUUCCAUGAGCACACGACCUGAACCGAGUCUCUCAUCGUCUUUGUAUGUUGAAGCAGAACGAAAAUACGCUCCUGAGAAGGCUCUUAUGACGGUGCAAUUUGUCGGCGUCCCUUCGUCAUCAUCAAUGGCAUCGUGGCUGCAAUCCACUGAGUGUAACCAUCAUCCCAAACUGCGCGAAUCUUCACUCAAUCCACAAACCUCGAAUUGUAAAUUCGUUAUGGAGGAUCCGAGUUCAUCAUCAAUCGCAAUAAGCCUUCUCGAGCGUAACAAUGGAGACGAGAUAUGGUGUAGGAUACUUCUAGAAUCAACAUAAAUUAAUAAAGCGAGUAUCCACGGAAAACGUACCAGAAAGACUCCGGCACGGCGGUUCUGAUGCUAAUGCCUUCGUAGGUAGAAAACGACACUCUUCGGUUGCAGGAAGAAAAUCUCGAGCCGUCGUGUCGAAAACCAAGUUGCAGAAAGGGAAUCUUCGGUUGCAGAUUUGAAACCUCGAGCUGCAGAGUAAAGUUUUCAGCUACAAAAUAAAGAAUUCAUAUGCAGAAUAUAAAAUCUAGAUGCAGCAUGAAAGAACUCUGAUGCAGAAUGAAGGUUUUUGGAUGCGAAAUGAAGAAAAAAAAUGCAGGGUGAAGCAAAUCAGAUGCAGAAUCCAAAACUCUCCCCCUAGAUCGUUGCACAGUGUGUGAUAGUCUAUGCGUCUGUUACAUUACACCAUCAAGCAAACUAAGAGUGGCAGCAGCUGACAUGGUUGAUGAUGUACCUGUCUUAAUCGAUGCAGCCGCAACAAUCGCAGUAACAACUAUGGUUGCUUUCAUUGUGUCUGCAAAUGGCACCGUGAACAUCUGUGAUGGAGAGUUCUUGAGACGGUGCUGGGGUUUCCAAGUCAAGCGGCAUAAAUAUGGUGUUGGCACCGGUCCGAGGACGACUUGAUUUGAUUAAACUGAUAGCUCACUUUGGUGUUGCCGGAUCUGUUGAGUUGUUAUUAUUGAGUAGGUCUGCUAUGCUCAUUCAAUUAAUUGGAUGAUUGCAUUAAUUAUACCUGGUGCCUCAUCAGUGACUCACGCUGCAGUUCCAAUUGUAAACCAGCUAGCUCAUUUUCUAAUAUUUGAAGAUGGUGGUCUGGGGGACCAAGAGAUGGAAUUGUACUGACUGUGCUAGUCAUUGAUUGUUGCUGAACUGAGUUCAAUUCUGCUCUCAAUGAUGUUGCAUCUUCUUCCGCAGGAUAUUGCUCCUUUUCUGCUUUUUCAAUUGUGUGAUUUUGGAUUUACAGGUUACCAUGAAAUAGUGGGUUUGGUAGCUUUGUUAUGGAACUUAGAUCAUGUAUAAAUUAGGAUUGUAGAGUUUGGAUAAUGAAUAAUGUAUAGAUGAUUUUGUGUGUAAUGGUUUUGAUAAGGAUUUUGAUGGACAAAUGGAUAUUAUUUAUAGGUUA
Lathyrus oleraceus (garden pea) is the source of this 1498-nucleotide long non-coding RNA. RefSeq lists it as uncharacterized. The transcript has 5 exons. NCBI's taxonomy places the organism in Eukaryota, Viridiplantae, Streptophyta, Magnoliopsida, Fabales, Fabaceae. The record is from RefSeq and is a predicted model, not a curated record.